This 253-nucleotide ribosomal RNA is filed under the name uncultured bacterium. RNAcentral describes it as "partial 16S ribosomal RNA". It matches the Rfam family "Bacterial small subunit ribosomal RNA", at positions 524 to 776 of the family's 1533-position model. The record is from RNAcentral.
UACGUAGGGGGCAAGCGUUGUCCGGAUUUAUUGGGCGUAAAGAGCGUGUAGGCGGCCAGGUAGGUCCGUUGUGAAAACUCGAGGCUCAACCUCGAGACGUCGAUGGAAACCCUCUGGCUAGAGUCCGGAAGAGGAGAGUGGAAUUCCUGGUGUAGCGGUGAAAUGCGCAGAUAUCAGGAAGAACACCCGUGGCGAAGGCGGCUCUCUGGGACGGUACUGACGCUGAGACGCGAAAGCGUGGGGAGCAAACAGG